AGUUAAUGAACUUGUUAAAGUAUAUGUUUUGAAAGCAUAAUAAAGAAGACUAUUCUUCUAUUAACUU
RNAcentral lists this transfer RNA (67 nucleotides) under Orthomus sp. BMNH 1042407. RNAcentral describes it as "tRNA-Ser". Lineage: Eukaryota; Metazoa; Arthropoda; Insecta; Coleoptera; Carabidae. The record is from RNAcentral.